Molecule: ribosomal RNA, 469 nt
Filed under: Cladosporium tenuissimum
Lineage: Eukaryota; Fungi; Ascomycota; Dothideomycetes; Cladosporiales; Cladosporiaceae
Description: eukaryotic LSU rRNA
Rfam family: 5.8S ribosomal RNA (bases 123-276)
Source: RNAcentral
AACCCUUUGUUGUCCGACUCUGUUGCCUCCGGGGCGACCCUGCCUUCGGGCGGGGGCUCCGGGUGGACACUUCAAACUCUUGCGUAACUUUGCAGUCUGAGUAAACUUAAUUAAUAAAUUAAAACUUUUAACAACGGAUCUCUUGGUUCUGGCAUCGAUGAAGAACGCAGCGAAAUGCGAUAAGUAAUGUGAAUUGCAGAAUUCAGUGAAUCAUCGAAUCUUUGAACGCACAUUGCGCCCCCUGGUAUUCCGGGGGGCAUGCCUGUUCGAGCGUCAUUUCACCACUCAAGCCUCGCUUGGUAUUGGGCAUCGCGGUCCGCCGCGUGCCUCAAAUCGACCGGCUGGGUCUUCUGUCCCCUAAGCGUUGUGGAAACUAUUCGCUAAAGGGUGUUCGGGAGGCUACGCCGUAAAACAACCCCAUUUCUAAGGUUGACCUCGGAUCAGGUAGGGAUACCCGCUGAACUUAAGC